UGCCAUUGAAGUUCCAGACAGUAUGUUGAAGGUUGAUUUUGUGUCUGUAGUAUUGUCAAGGGGGAAAGGCCAUGCAGCUAGAAUGCUUACACCAGGCCCAAUAAUAUCAGGUUUCAGAAUGCCUGGACUUGCCAAACUGGGGCCUCUCGAUGAGAAUGAAGUAACAGCUGGAGACAAUGGGUCUCCAAUGACAGUUCCUUUGAAUAAGAUUGUUGCUGUUGGUGUCUUUGUUGAAUUUAUAUAUGCUUUGAUCUUCAGCCCUGCUGCAAAGCUGACAUGUGUUGCAGGAAGGACAUGAGGAUCAGAUAUGGUGCUGAAGCCGCUAGUCUCAUCAUUCAUGAGUAUCAUAGCAGCACCCCCAGCAUUUUUCACUUCCUCUCCUUUGGCAAUUCUGCCUAUUCCUCCUCUUUCACACAAGACUACUUUGCCUUUCACAUUCAUACCUUCCAGUGCUCCCUCACCACACAAUGCUGACUCUGGUUUACCAUUCAUACCAGCAUAAACAAGAGGUAAUAGUGUUUUGGGGAAGUUGCUAGGUUGGAAAACAGAUUCACCAUCUAAUUCUUCGCCUUUUCCAAGCUUUGCUGUGGCAGCAAUUCUCCUAUCUAUGGUGCUUGCUCCAACUGUGAGAAUCCAAGGAGCUUCAUUGGAUAAUGUGCCAUUGAAAGGACCAGAAUUUCCACCUGCACAGCUUACAAAUAUUCCUUUCUGAAUUGCUGCAAAAGAGCCUAUUGCUAUGUUGUCUUGAAAAAAGGGCAUUGAUACAUCAACAAGGGAGAGUGAGAGCACAUCAACACCAUCCUGUACUGCUGUAUCGAGCCCAGCUAAUAUAUCACUUUCGGUACAAUCAGCAGUAGGGCCUCCAAAACAAACUUUGUAAAUAGCCAGAUGAGCAUAAGGUGCCAUUCCAACUGCUGUGCCUUUGGCAUUUCCUAGUGUGUCAGCAUUGUAUACAAAGCUACCAGCAGCUGUGCUUGCAGUGUGAGUCCCAUGGCCAUCUACAUCAAUUGGUGGUUCGUCUGCUACUCCCUUCAUGGCCUUAGCUGCGAGAUUGAAAGACCUUGCACCAAUUAUUUUGUUGUUACACUCUGAUGCAUUAAAGUCACAUCUCCCUUUCCAUCUGGCUGGUGGUGGUGGCAUUCCUUUAUCACCGAAUGAAGGAUGGCUGGGGAAAAUGCCUCCAUCUAGUACUCCAAUGAUCACUCCCUUGCCAAAAUUUGAUUCUUUCCAGAAUCCCAUUUGCUGAUGCAAACCCAAGAAGCUGGGGGAGUGUGUUGUCUGUAAACGUAUUUUCCUUUCAGGACGGGCUGACACAAAGCCAUCAAUCUCUUCCAUGGCCUUGACUUCCUCCUUUGUCAGUCUUGCAGCAAAACCACUUAUUAUAUUCUGGUAUGAGUAAAGGAUACGUUGCUGCUGCUUCUCAGAGCUUGCCAUGCUAAAUGGUAAAAAUGACUUGUGCCACUUCUCCAGAUUAUGUGUCUGGGAAAAGGUUCCUGCUGGUUUGCUGACAUGGACAAUGUAGGUUUGUAAGUUGUGCUUUUCAGUUAUUUCAGCAGUGUACUGAGCUGCUUGAGCAAUCUCAAGAUAGAAGUUGAACAAGAAAAUGAGAAAGAGAAAAGGAGUGGCAGCCAUUUGUAAUGAAAAAUUUCUCUUCAUGAAGUAGAAGAGUAAAAAUGCUCAGUUGUUUUUGUUAUCAAAA
This 1699-nucleotide unclassified non-coding RNA is filed under the name Hevea brasiliensis (rubber tree). Lineage: Eukaryota; Viridiplantae; Streptophyta; Magnoliopsida; Malpighiales; Euphorbiaceae. The record is from RNAcentral.